GGGGCUGUAGCUCAGUUGGGAGAGCGCCUGCCUUGCACGCAGGAGGUCAGCGGUUCGAUCCCGCUCAGCUCCACCA
Molecule: transfer RNA, 76 nt
Filed under: Marichromatium gracile
Lineage: Bacteria; Pseudomonadati; Pseudomonadota; Gammaproteobacteria; Chromatiales; Chromatiaceae
Also listed under: 29 other names
Description: tRNA-Ala
Rfam family: tRNA
About the family: Transfer RNA (tRNA) molecules are approximately 80 nucleotides in length.
Source: RNAcentral